Molecule: non-coding RNA, 97 nt
Organism: Acanthosepion pharaonis
Lineage: Eukaryota; Metazoa; Mollusca; Cephalopoda; Sepiida; Sepiidae
Source: the annotation of a GenBank genome assembly
UUAUGGCCACAUCAGGUUGGAAUACCAGUUCCUGUACAAUCACCAAAGUUAAGCAACAUUGAGCCUGGGUAGUAUCUAGUUGGGUGACCACUUGGGU